RNAcentral lists this long non-coding RNA (1545 nucleotides) under Jatropha curcas. Its description in RNAcentral is "long non-coding RNA (JCUR_LNC003235)". The record is from RNAcentral. Lineage: Eukaryota; Viridiplantae; Streptophyta; Magnoliopsida; Malpighiales; Euphorbiaceae.
AUCUAAUGAGGUGUGUUAAAGGAAUGGAAACAAUUAUCAAAGUAAUAAACUCAAAAGCCUUUAAGAGAUUUCGGUACAAUCAUGUGCCAGUACAAGCCCUGUUUAGUUUGAUGGCAAAUUUACCUGUGAACUUGAGACCAAGACAUGCAACUACAGCAGCUUCAUUGGAACGAUUUUGCAUAGACACUGUAAUGACUAUAUGGCAUUAUCAUGGAGGAUGUCAAGUAGGGCAGGUUCUUGAUCAUAAUUAUAGGGUUCGUGGUGUUGAUGGAUUAAGGGUUAUUGAUGGCUCCACUUUUCUUCGCUCGCCGGGCACUAAUCCUCAAGCUACUGUUAUGAUGCUUGGAAGGUAAUUACUAACUAGUUGUCCUCUAAUCACAUUUUGAUAUAUAGCUAUUAAUUGCAUGCCAAUAUUUUGUAAUGCAGGUAUAUGGGGAUGAGAAUUCUGCAUGACAGACUUCCUAAGAAGAGAAGUAAAUGAUGAUAAUUGUAAAUGUGACUUUUAAAAUUUUUGUAUACUAUCAGAAUACAAGUGAACUUCAGCAGUUCAAGUUUUGGGUAACUGAAUGCUUUAAUUUCCUUUCCAAUUGGUAGAGAAUGAGAGAAAUGUAAAAAUCAAUUAGUAGUUAUUCUUUCAUAACUUUUUAAUUUUGGAAAUACCGAAAGACCAAAAGUGGAAGUCAAAGAAAAGAGAAGAAGAAGAAGAAUAUGCCUCUCUAAGGUCGUAUAUUACUCAGGAAAAGAAAAACAUGACGGAGAGCAGAGCAUCGCCUUUCCUAUCAGCUAUUCUUUUAACUCUUUUGGCCUCCAAAGAACGGACAAGAUGAGAUAACAGAAUCUGUCCUGCAUAUAAAAACAGAGCUUUGAACAUAUUAUUCUGAGCCAUAAAACACCUUCAAAGUUUUUAGCAUUGUUCAAGGCAUAUUUAUGAAGCAAUCUUUAAAUCAGGUAUUUACUCACCCAUCAAAAUCGGUGAAAACUCCCAUAUUUUAUGAAACUCCAACGAGAAAUCUCAUAUUCCCAUGCCCAAACAGUAUUAAUUACAUGGUACAGGAAUGAUUUUAUUAAUUAAACUAACACCAGACUGCAUAUUUAGACAGGCCAACAGACCAUACUGACCCCAGAGGCGAUGGCUAGGGCUUUUGAGACAGUAAAUUCCUUAGUGAACUCAACACUAAAAGGUGGAAUUAUUCUAGAAAAGAUAACGGGUCCGCUCUCCAGAGGGGAGCUCAAGCUAAGAACAACAAAUCCAGACGAGAACCCAUCAGUAAAAUUCAACUAUUUCAAAGAACCAGAAGAUCUAAUGAGGUGUGUUAAAGGAAUGGAAACAAUUAUCAAAGUAAUAAACUCAAAAGCCUUUAAGAGAUUUCGGUACAAUCAUGUGCCAGUACAAGCCCUGUUUAGUUUGAUGGCAAAUUUACCUGUGAACUUGAGACCAAGACAUGCAACUACAGCAGCUUCAUUGGAACGAUUUUGCAUAGACACUGUAAUGACUAUAUGGCAUUAUCAUGGAGGAUGUCAAGUAGGGCAGGUUCUUGAUCAUAA